This 67-nucleotide transfer RNA is filed under the name Calumma gastrotaenia. RNAcentral describes it as "tRNA-Cys". The record is from RNAcentral. Lineage: Eukaryota; Metazoa; Chordata; Lepidosauria; Squamata; Chamaeleonidae.
AAGUCCAGGGUUUUCAUAAACCUUAUCCGAAUUUGCAAUUCGGGCUUUUUUUUAUCUGAGCUAUGCC